Long non-coding RNA from Cololabis saira (Pacific saury), 395 nucleotides. RefSeq lists it as uncharacterized. The transcript is spliced from 3 exons. The record is from RefSeq and is a predicted model, not a curated record. NCBI's taxonomy places the organism in Eukaryota, Metazoa, Chordata, Actinopteri, Beloniformes, Belonidae.
UCGACCUAUUUCCGGCGAUGUCCAGUGUGUGACAUGACUUAUAGGUACCAGGAAUGGCAAGACGGUCUCCAUAACUUUGAUGACCAUACAAUAUUGACCCUGGAACUUUGUGUAUACCUGAGACUUAACCUACAGAACAACGUCUCAGUAUCCAAGGUAGUAAAUGCAAUCGAAGGCCUAAGAAAGGUGACAAUUCCUGGCAGAGAUGCAGUUCUGCAUGCGUACUGCCACUUUGAGGCAUUGACAAGCCAUGACUACUCCUUUUCUUGUGUUUGCUGUGGCUACUAUCCUCCAGUAGUUGUUAUGGACUUACACAAAAAAGGAGUGUUCAACUUCCCUGUGAGUGACAUUACAGAUGCCCCAGAGAACUUCACUGGUGAAGUCAACGUUGAAGA